RNAcentral lists this ribosomal RNA (454 nucleotides) under uncultured Rhodocyclaceae bacterium. RNAcentral describes it as "bacterial SSU rRNA". It matches the Rfam family "Bacterial small subunit ribosomal RNA", at positions 925 to 1382 of the family's 1533-position model. Lineage: Bacteria; Pseudomonadati; Pseudomonadota; Betaproteobacteria; Rhodocyclales; Rhodocyclaceae. The record is from RNAcentral.
ACAAGCGUGGAUGAUGUGGAUUAAUUCGAUGCAACGCGAAAACCUUACUACCCUUGACAUGUCCGGAAUCCCGAAGAGAUUUGGGAGUGCUCGCAAGAGAACCGGAACACAGGUGCUGCAUGGCUGUCGUCAGCUCGUGUCGUGAGAUGUUGGGUUAAGUCCCGCAACGAGCGCAACCCUUGUCAUUAGUUGCCAUCAUUUGGUUGGGCACUCUAAUGAGACUGCCGGUGACAAACCGGAGGAAGUGGGGAUGACGUCAAGUCCUCAUGGCCCUUAUGGGUAGGGCUUCACACGUCAUACAAUGGUCGGUACAGAGGGUUGCCAACCCGCGAGGGGGAGCUAAUCCCACAAAGCCGAUCGUAGUCCGGAUCGCAGUCUGCAACUCGACUGCGUGAAGUCGGAAUCGCUAGUAAUCGUGGAUCAGCAUGUCACGGUGAAUACGUUCCCGGGUCUU